This 460-nucleotide ribosomal RNA is filed under the name uncultured bacterium. RNAcentral's name for it is "partial 16S ribosomal RNA". It matches the Rfam family "Bacterial small subunit ribosomal RNA", at positions 338 to 795 of the family's 1533-position model. The record is from RNAcentral.
CCUACGGGCGGCUGCAGUGAGGAAUAUUGGUCAAUGGGCGGGAGCCUGAACCAGCCAAGUCGCGUGAGGGAAGACGGUCCUAUGGAUUGUAAACCUCUUUUGGCGGGGAGCAAUGCCGGGCACGCGUGCCCGGAGGGAGAGUACCCGCAGAAUAAGCCUCGGCUAAAUCCGUACCAGCGGCCGCGGUAUUAGGGAGGAUGCGAGGGUUAUCCGGUUUUGUUGGGUUAAAAGGGUGCGUGGGCGGAUUUUUAAGUCAGCGGGAAAAGGUCCGGGCUAAACCCGGGCCUGCCGUUGAAACUGGGGAGCUUGAGUGGGCGAGAAGUAUGCGGAAUGCGUGGUGUAGCGGUGAAAUGCAUAGAUAUCACGCAGAACUCCGAUUGCGAAGGCAGCAUACCGGCGCCCGACUGACGCUGAGGCACGAAGGCGUGGGGAUCGAACAGGAUUAGAUACCCUUGUAGUC